This 443-nucleotide ribosomal RNA is filed under the name uncultured bacterium. RNAcentral's name for it is "bacterial SSU rRNA". It matches the Rfam family "Bacterial small subunit ribosomal RNA", at positions 30 to 475 of the family's 1533-position model. The record is from RNAcentral.
AUUGAACGCUGGCGGCAGGCCUAACACAUGCAAGUCGAGCGGUAGAGAGGUGCUUGCAUCUCUUGAGAGCGGCGGACGGGUGAGUAAUGCCUAGGAAUCUGCCUAGUGGUGGGGGAUAACGUUCGGAAACGGACGCUAAUACCGCAUACGUCCUACGGGAGAAAGCGGGGGAUCUUCGGACCUCGCGCCAUUAGAUGAGCCUAGGUCGGAUUAGCUAGUUGGUGAGGUAAUGGCUCACCAAGGCGACGAUCCGUAACUGGUCUGAGAGGAUGAUCAGUCACACUGGAACUGAGACACGGUCCAGACUCCUACGGGAGGCAGCAGUGGGGAAUAUUGGACAAUGGGCGAAAGCCUGAUCCAGCCAUGCCGCGUGUGUGAAGAAGGUCUUCGGAUUGUAAAGNACUUAAGUUGGGAGGAAGGGUUGUAGAUUAAUAACUCUGCAA